UCUCCAGUCACUCAUUUCCCUGCAAGGUCAACAUCCCAUAUCGGGUCUGAAGUUCUUGAACAUGUGGUCGUGUUUUAGCUGCCACAACAGCAUAAUGUGUUUGGGAAGGAUAGUAGAUCCAGAGUCUCAAAGGAACUGACUGAUGCACAGACUAAAAAAACCAGUAACAUUUAUUAUAGCUCGUACACAAUCAUACUAUGCACUGUUCUUUAUUGUCAGAACACCCCAAAGACACAUCAAAAUUCUCUAUGUCAUUGCUUUCUUGGACUAUGGCCACAGCAUCAAGUAGGUUUAUUCUUGAAGGGAAAAUGGAAAAUUAGUAACAUCGGGUUGAAGCCUUCCGCAGCAACAGUGACCAUUUCCAGAAUACAUGUUGUAUGAGGAAUCAAAUUAAAAGCCUCUGUGUAAAUAUUCAAGCUGCAUAAUCUUUUGACCACUGCAUUGAAAAAGCACGUAUAUGAGUGAGUGACUUGGGAUCAUGAGUCCCCGUUAACGUUUCUCAGAACCACCCAAACCACAGUGAACAUGAAGUCAGAUCAAUGCUGCGAGCAGAAGCCCACAUGUUGACAUCUGUGGGGAAUAGGCAAGGAACAACCAGAACUGCUGAAAUACAGACAUGCAUUUUCCAUCCUGACAUCUUUGCAAUGGAGGCAAAAGCUUCUCGGAGAGUGGUGGAGCAGUCAGUUAGAAGCCAUAACCUCGUCAGCUGCUGGUGUUCAUUAGGGGUUAUCUGUCAGACUCCUAAAGCCAUAGACUGAUAUUUGAACCACCUCAGAGGGUUACCUCUUCUGUGAGAUACUGAUCAAAUCCAGGUGACAUUGCACUGUUCAUGGGACCCCUUUGAUAGGUUUAGCAGGGAGUCAGUAACUCGCAGUAGAAAUUGUAAACUCUUAAACUCGCAUGGAGAUUUCUGUCGUCAAUAUACCCCAGGUUACCUUCACUUUGCUUUUAACAAAUGUUAAAAAUGGACGAUUGGUUUAAAAUAUACCAAGAAAAGAAAGAAAUGGGGAGAGAGGAGGCUGUUGAACCACCCAGUCAAUUUCCUGCCAGUGGAGACAUACUUCUGG
This 1067-nucleotide long non-coding RNA is filed under the name Anser brachyrhynchus (Pink-footed goose). Its description in RNAcentral is "lncRNA (ENSABRG00000013655.1)". Lineage: Eukaryota; Metazoa; Chordata; Aves; Anseriformes; Anatidae. The record is from RNAcentral.